CCGCCAUAUCACGUUGAAACACCUGUUCUCAUACGAUUACUGAAGUUAAGCAACGUAGGAACUACGCAGUACCUAGAUGGGUGACCGUUUGAGAAUACCAGGUGCUGUAA
Non-coding RNA from Acanthosepion pharaonis, 110 nucleotides. Lineage: Eukaryota; Metazoa; Mollusca; Cephalopoda; Sepiida; Sepiidae. The record is from the annotation of a GenBank genome assembly.